GUGGGGAAUAUUGGACAAUGGGCGAAAGCCUGAUCCAGCCAUGCCGCGUGUGUGAAGAAGGUCUUCGGAUUGUAAAGCACUUUAAGUUGGGAGGAAGGGCAGUAAGUUAAUACCUUGCUGUUUUGACGUUACCGACAGAAUAAGCACCGGCUAACUCCGUGCCAGCAGCCGCGGUAAUACGAAGGGUGCAAGCGUUAAUCGGAAUUACUGGGCGUAAAGCGCGCGUAGGUGGUUUUGUAAGUUGGAGGUGAAAUCCCCGGGCUCAACCUGGGAAGUGCCACCAAAACUGCAGGACUAGAGUACGGUAGAGGGUAGUGGAAUGUCCUGUGUAGCGGUGAAAUGCGUAGAUAUAGGGAGGAACACCAGUGGCGAAGGCGACUACCUGGACUGAUACUGACCCUGCGGUGCGAAAGCGUGGGGAGCAAACAGGAUUAGAAACCCCUGUAGUCC
RNAcentral lists this ribosomal RNA (450 nucleotides) under uncultured bacterium. RNAcentral's name for it is "bacterial SSU rRNA". It matches the Rfam family "Bacterial small subunit ribosomal RNA", at positions 354 to 796 of the family's 1533-position model. The record is from RNAcentral.